GGGCUCCAGCCUCUCCGGCGGCGGCGUCGAGGUUUCCCCGGAGGGAGCGGGGCCGCGCGGGGAAGAUCAGUUUGGAACUCCACAGUCCUAGUGACUGCAAUUGCUUAGGCAAGGAAAAUGAGCUCUGAAGAUGUUUGGAAAAGGGAUGAUUCUGAAGAAGAAGAAGAAGAGUAUGUUUCCAGUGAGUCAGAAGAACAAUCUGAACCAGAAUUGGAACCAGAGGAUCCUGAAGAUCCUAUUUAUGCCACAGCUCCAACAGUUAAUAUUCGGGAUGAAGGUUCCAUUGACGUGCACACAUGUCCUGCCUUUCAGUGCCUUGAUGAGGUAGUGUACUCUUAGUUUCCUUUAUGUCAGCAUGAUAGAUACUAUUUUCAGUUGAAUUGCCUCUGUAGGAAAUUAAAAACAAAGCAACUUUUAAGUACCUAUUGUGAAAAUAGCAUUGAUCCAUCACAACAGCAACUGAAAACAAGAUACAGGAAACCAUCUUGUCAAAAAGCAUGCAAACUGAAAUAAAACAAAUGAAAAACUCUGCACUGUUAUCCAAGCACACCACUUUGCCUUAUUGGGGUAAUGUUCUUGACUUUGGUGGAAUGUUCAUUAUCUCGUUUCCACAAAUAUGUUAAACAGAAUUCCUAAGAGUCCCUUUCAAGGCUUUGCAUAAGAAACAGCAAGGCAUAGAAUAUGUGUCAAAUGUAAACUGUUACUUUGCAGAGCUGACACGAUUGCUCUUUAUAGUGAUCUGUUCCAGGGGUAAUCAGCUUGGUGCCUUUGAAAUACAGUGAUACCUCGGGUUACAUACGCUUCAGGUUACAUACGCUUCAGGUUACACACUCCGCUAACCCAGAAAUAGUGCUUCAGGUUAAGAACGUUGCUUCAGGAUAAGAGCAGAAAUUGUGCUCCGGCGGCGCGGCAGCAGCAGGAGGCCCCAUUAGCUAAAGCGGUGCUUCAGGUUAAGAACAGUUUCAGGUUAAGAACGGACCUCCAGAACGAAUUAAGUACUUAACCCGAGGUACCACUGUAUUUCUGGACUACAGUUCCCAUAAUUCCUGGCCAUUGUCCAUGCUGGCUGGGGCUGAUGGGAGUUGUAGCUCAACAACUUCUGGAGGGUGCCAUGUUGGCUGCCCCUGGGCCACUCAAAGGAGACGCUGUUGACAUAACUUUGGAAAAGAGAUGUGUGGUGGGGUGAAAUGAAGUUUUUGUGCAGCAGAAAGACCAUACUAACAAGUCUUAUUCCCUCACUGUUGUUUUGGCUGCUGCUUUCCUUAAGAUACGGGAUAAAUCUCUUUAAGGAUUGGGCAAUAAUAUACACAAACAUGCCAAUAUCAAGAAUAAUUGUCAAAUAAUUGCCAUUGUUUUGGCAGCUAUCCAGCAGUAUGAAGUACGCAUUAAAAGUUUGCUUGGUGACUUUAAUUUGUAAAAUUAUCUGUUUUGUCAUAAAAAGAGUUUUCCGAAGGGGGAACGAGAACAGACUUAGGAGAGCAUGGCAAGUUCAAACUGCAUUGGGCAAUUAAAAAACAUAUACCCCUGUUUUCUUCAGCACCUUUUCAGAUAUUUCCCCUCUGUUUUUCCUCUGGAUUUGGUCUUUAGUUUUGUCUUACAGGAAACAGUGAAGUAAAAUUAGUAUGUUCUUAAAUUCUUUUUGUUUAUAAAAUUUACAAAGCAUUUUCUGUUCAAACACACCAAGGCCUAGCCAAAGAAGAAAAUAGUUUCCUAACACUCUUGAGAAAGAGUUGAAACAAAACUUUCUCUGGAUUGCACUAAGAAUGGCACAAAACUAAAACACGAGAGAGUAUAAUAUAAAACCCUGUUGGCUUCCAUUGCACAGAAGCCAACUUAAAUCAAAACUAGCAAGGUGCAGACACAAAUGUAAAGCACUCUGUGUUGCAAACUAAACCGUAGUGUUGGAACAAGCGCCCAAAGACCUGGGCUUAUGAUUGGCUCUGUUCCUAAGACACAGUGGGAAAUUUCAGCCAUGCCAACAUUCUCAAAUAUUCAUAUAUCAAGUCAGGUACAUAUGCCACUGGCUUUGUAAUACAGUGGUGUCUCGCAGGACGAAAAGAAUCCGUUCCGCGAUUCUCUUCGUCUUGCGGUUUUUUCGUCUUGCGAAGCAAGCCCAUUAGCGGAUUUGCGCUCUUAGCGGGCUUAGCGGAUCAGCUGAUAAGCGGCUUAGCGGAUCAGCUGAUAAGCGGCUUAGCGAUCAGCUGUUUAGCGGCUUAGCGGAUCAGCUGUUAAGCGGCUUAGCGGAUCAGCUGAUAAGCGGCUUAGCGGCUUGGGAAAAAGGGGGGGGAGGGAAAAAACCCUGCAGGAACUCGCAAGACAUUUUCGUCUUGCGAAGCAAGCCCAUAGGAAAUUCGUUUUGCGAAGCACCUCCAAAACGGAAAACCCUUUCGUCUAGCGGGUUUUCCGUCUUGCGAGGCAUUCGUCUUGCGGGGCACCACUGUAAGAUCAUUCUAUAACACAG
Molecule: long non-coding RNA, 2461 nt
Organism: Podarcis muralis (Common wall lizard)
Lineage: Eukaryota; Metazoa; Chordata; Lepidosauria; Squamata; Lacertidae
Source: Ensembl